CCAACUGCACCUUCCUGCUGCUGGCAGCCUCCAUCUACCUGCACGACCAGAACCCCGAGGCUGCGCUGCGGGCCCUGCACCAGGGGGACAGCCUGGAGUGCCUGGCCAUGACCGUGCAGAUCCUGCUGAAACUCGACAGGCUCGACCUGGCCAGGAAGGAGCUGAAGAAGAUGCAGGAGCAGGACGAGGACGCGAC
Molecule: non-coding RNA, 196 nt
Organism: Lonchura striata (white-rumped munia)
Lineage: Eukaryota; Metazoa; Chordata; Aves; Passeriformes; Estrildidae
Source: RefSeq, a predicted model, not a curated record